This 495-nucleotide ribosomal RNA is filed under the name uncultured bacterium. RNAcentral describes it as "bacterial SSU rRNA". It matches the Rfam family "Bacterial small subunit ribosomal RNA", at positions 30 to 518 of the family's 1533-position model. The record is from RNAcentral.
UGAACGCUGGCGGCGUGCCUAACACAUGCAAAUCGAACGAAGCAUACGGACUGGAGAUUCGUCGAAGGACUGUAUGACUUAGUGGCGGACGGGUGAGUAAUGUAUGAGCAACCUGCCUUCAGAGGGGGACAACAGUUGGAAACGACUGCUAAUACCGCAUAAUGUAUGAUGAGGACAUCCUCGACAUAACCAAAGGAGCAAUCCGCUGGAAAAGAUGGGCUCAUAUCUGAUUAGCUUGUUGGCGGGGUAACGGCCCACCAAGGCGACGAUCAGUAGCCGGACUGAGAGGUUGAACGGCCACAUUGGGACUGAGAUACGGCCCAGACUCCUACGGGAGGCAGCAGUGGGGAAUAUUGGGCAAUGGGCGAAAGCCUGAACCCCAGCAACGCCGCGUGAAGGAAGAAGGUCUUCGGAUUGUAAACUUCUUUUAUGAGGGACGAAGGACGUGACGGUACCUCAUGAAUAAGCCACGGCUAACUACGUGCCAGCAGCCGC